GCCUGGGUGGCUCAGUCGGUUGAGCGUCCGACUUCGGCCCAGGUCAUGAUCUCGCGGUCCGUGGGUUCGAGCCCCGCAUCGGGCU
Transfer RNA from Felis catus (domestic cat), 85 nucleotides. It matches the Rfam family "tRNA". Rfam says of the family: Transfer RNA (tRNA) molecules are approximately 80 nucleotides in length. Lineage: Eukaryota; Metazoa; Chordata; Mammalia; Carnivora; Felidae. The record is from Rfam.